UACGUAGGCAGCGAGCGUUGUUCGGAGUUACUGGGCGUAAAGCGUGCGUAGGCGGUGUCUUAAGUUUGUUGUGAAAUCUCCCGGCUCAACCUGGGAACUGCGUCUGAUACUGGAUGGCUUGAAUUCGGGAGAGGGAUGCAGAAUUCCAGGUGUAGCGGUGAAAUGCGUAGAUAUCUGGAGGAAUACCGGUGGCGAAGGCGGCAUCCUGGACCGACAUUGACGCUGAGGAGCGAAAGCUAGGGGAGCAAACGGG
RNAcentral lists this ribosomal RNA (253 nucleotides) under uncultured bacterium. RNAcentral describes it as "partial 16S ribosomal RNA". It matches the Rfam family "Bacterial small subunit ribosomal RNA", at positions 524 to 776 of the family's 1533-position model. The record is from RNAcentral.